GGACAGGUAAUACGUUUUGCGUGUUGUGUGGGGCUGAAGUUGAAAAUAUGGACUAUCUUUUUUCUCGAUGUGUUCUUACUCGUUUUCUUAUUAUGAAGUCUGUGGAGGAUGCUCUCAGUACGGAACUGAAUGACAACGUGGGCUCUCUUUGGGAUAGGUGUUUGACGGGGAGUCGUUUGCGUCCGUUCAACGAUUGUUUGAAUGGCUUAAUAUCUUGCUGGUGGGUUACUUGGCUGGCUAGAAUUUACACGAUCUUCUGUAAUGUCAU
RNAcentral lists this long non-coding RNA (268 nucleotides) under Ananas comosus (pineapple). Its description in RNAcentral is "long non-coding RNA (ACOM_LNC038297)". Lineage: Eukaryota; Viridiplantae; Streptophyta; Magnoliopsida; Poales; Bromeliaceae. The record is from RNAcentral.